UCCAUCAAGCUGAGCAUGUUUAACGGGAGGAUGCGAAUAUUGACAAAUGUGCAUCAUGUCCCAGAUCUCAGAAGGAGCAUAGUAUCACUUAGGAACUUAGAUGAAAAGGGCUGCACUUUCAGAAGUAAUUCAAGGGUUCUGAAUAUCUCCAAGGAUGAUAAGAUUGUGAUGAGAGAGAGGAGGCUGAGGAGUUGUUUGUACCAAUUGGAGGGAUCUGUUGUGUCUAGGAAGACUGAGGUGAUUGCUUCAGCUACGGAAGAUCAAUCAGAGGUCUAGUCGGUGCAGAUUGGAUAGUUGAUGAUAUGCUUAUCGGAUCUACUAGUUGUAGGGUGGUCGGAUCA
Molecule: long non-coding RNA, 341 nt
Filed under: Elaeis guineensis (African oil palm)
Lineage: Eukaryota; Viridiplantae; Streptophyta; Magnoliopsida; Arecales; Arecaceae
Description: long non-coding RNA (EGUI_LNC040599)
Source: RNAcentral